AGAGUUUGAUCCUGGCUCAGGACGAACGCUGGCGGCGUGCUUAACACAUGCAAGUCGAGCGGUAAGGCCUUUCGGGGUACACGAGCGGCGAACGGGUGAGUAACACGUGGGUGAUCUGCCCUGCACUCUGGGAUAAGCUUGGGAAACUGGGUCUAAUACCGGAUAUGACCGCAGCAUGCAUGUGUUGUGGUGGAAAGAUUUAUCGGUGCAGGAUGGGCCCGCGGCCUAUCAGCUUGUUGGUGGGGUAAUGGCCUACCAAGGCGACGACGGGUAGCCGACCUGAGAGGGUGACCGGCCACACUGGGACUGAGACACGGCCCAGACUCCUACGGGAGGCAGCAGUGGGGAAUAUUGCACAAUGGGCGGAAGCCUGAUGCAGCGACGCCGCGUGAGGGAUGAAGGCCUUCGGGUUGUAAACCUCUUUCAGCAGGGACGAAGCGUGAGUGACGGUACCUGCAGAAGAAGCACCGGCUAACUACGUGCCAGCAGCCGCGGUAAUACGUAGGGUGCGAGCGUUGUCCGGAAUUACUGGGCGUAAAGAGUUCGUAGGCGGUUUGUCGCGUCGUUUGUGAAAACCCGGGGCUCAACUUCGGGCUUGCAGGCGAUACGGGCAGACUUGAGUGUUUCAGGGGAGACUGGAAUUCCUGGUGUAGCGGUGAAAUGCGCAGAUAUCAGGAGGAACACCGGUGGCGAAGGCGGGUCUCUGGGAAACAACUGACGCUGAGGAACGAAAGCGUGGGUAGCAAACAGGAUUAGAUACCCUGGUAGUCCACGCCGUAAACGGUGGGCGCUAGGUGUGGGUUCCUUCCACGGGAUCUGUGCCGUAGCUAACGCAUUAAGCGCCCCGCCUGGGGAGUACGGCCGCAAG
Molecule: ribosomal RNA, 868 nt
Filed under: Rhodococcus sp. AKB-2008-JO70
Lineage: Bacteria; Bacillati; Actinomycetota; Actinomycetes; Mycobacteriales; Nocardiaceae
Also listed under: 2 other names
Description: bacterial SSU rRNA
Rfam family: Bacterial small subunit ribosomal RNA
Source: RNAcentral